GAAGCGGCAACAGCUCAAAUUUGAAAUCUGGCGCAAGCCCGAGUUGUAAUUUGUAGAGGAUGCUUCAGGGCAGCGGCCGUUCUAAGUCUUUUGGAACAAGGCGUCACAGAGGGUGAGAAUCCCGUAUGCGACCGGCGCGCACCCGUCACGUAGCUCCUUCGACGAGUCGAGUUGUUUGGGAAUGCAGCUCUAAAUGGGAGGUAAAUUUCUUCUAAAGCUAAAUAUUGGCCAGAGACCGAUAGCGCACAAGUAGAGUGAUCGAAAGAUGAAAAGCACUUUGGAAAGAGAGUUAAACAGCACGUGAAAUUGUUGAAAGGGAAGCGCAUGCAACCAGACGUGCCGGCGGUGUUCCCCCGGUCUUUUGACCGGGUCACUCGCCGCCGGCAGGCUCGCAUCGCCUGGGCGCGUCGGAGAAAGGCGCGGGGAAUGUGGCUCCUUCGGGAGUGUUAUAGCCCCGUGCGCAAUACGGCGCCGCCCGGGCGAGGUCCGCGCUCCGGCUAGGAUGCGGGCGUAAUGGUUGUCUGCGGCCCGUCUUGAA
This 538-nucleotide ribosomal RNA is filed under the name Acidomyces acidothermus. RNAcentral's name for it is "partial large subunit ribosomal RNA". It matches the Rfam family "Eukaryotic large subunit ribosomal RNA", at positions 95 to 658 of the family's 3401-position model. The record is from RNAcentral. Lineage: Eukaryota; Fungi; Ascomycota; Dothideomycetes; Mycosphaerellales; Teratosphaeriaceae.